GCAGUCGACGAUGAAGCCCUUCGGGGUGGAUUAGUGGCGAACGGGUGAGUAACACGUGGGCAAUCUGCCCUUCACUCUGGGACAAGCCCUGGAAACGGGGUCUAAUACCGGAUAACACCGGCCUCCGCAUGGGGGCCGGUUGAAAGCUCCGGCGGUGAAGGAUGAGCCCGCGGCCUAUCAGCUUGUUGGUGGGGUAAUGGCCUACCAAGGCGACGACGGGUAGCCGGCCUGAGAGGGCGACCGGCCACACUGGGACUGAGACACGGCCCAGACUCCUACGGGAGGCAGCAGUGGGGAAUAUUGCACAAUGGGCGAAAGCCUGAUGCAGCGACGCCGCGUGAGGGAUGACGGCCUUCGGGUUGUAAACCUCUUUCAGCAGGGAAGAAGCGAGAGUGACGGUACCUGCAGAAGAAGCGCCGGCUAACUACGUGCCAGCAGCCGCGGUAAUACGUAGGGCGCAAGCGUUGUCCGGAAUUAUUGGGCGUAAAGAGCUCGUAGGCGGCUUGUCACGUCGGGUGUGAAAGCCCGGGGCUUAACCCCGGGUCUGCAUCCGAUACGGGCAGGCUAGAGUGUGGUAGGGGAGAUCGGAAUUCCUGGUGUAGCGGUGAAAUGCGCAGAUAUCAGGAGGAACACCGGUGGCGAAGGCGGAUCUCUGGGCCAUUACUGACGCUGAGGAGCGAAAGCGUGGGGAGCGAACAGG
This 700-nucleotide ribosomal RNA is filed under the name Bacillota bacterium. RNAcentral's name for it is "bacterial SSU rRNA". It matches the Rfam family "Bacterial small subunit ribosomal RNA", at positions 57 to 776 of the family's 1533-position model. RNAcentral also lists the same sequence under 2 other names. The record is from RNAcentral. Lineage: Bacteria; Bacillati; Bacillota.